RNAcentral lists this ribosomal RNA (1401 nucleotides) under uncultured bacterium. Its description in RNAcentral is "bacterial SSU rRNA". It matches the Rfam family "Bacterial small subunit ribosomal RNA". The record is from RNAcentral.
AGUUUGAUCCUGUGCUCAGGACGAACGCUGGCGGCGUGCCUAAUACAUGCAAGUCAAACGCUUCCUACCGGUGCUUGCACCGGGAAAUAAGAGUGGCGGACGGGUGAGUAACACGUGGGUAACCUACCUACAAGCGGGGGAUAACAUUCGGAAACGGAUGCUAAUACCGCAUAGAUCUUGUGGUCUCCUGGCAGAAAGAAGAAAGACGGUUUCGGCUGUCACUUGUAUAUGGACCCGCGGCGCAUUAGUUACUUGGUGAGGUAAUGGCUCACCAAUGACGAUGAUGCGUAGCCGACCUGAGAGGGUGAUCGGCCACACUGGGACUGAUACACGGACCAGACUCCUACAGGAGGCAGCAGUACGGAAUCUUCCGUAAUGGACGAAAGUCUGACGGAGCAACGCCGUGUGAGUGAAGAAGGUUUCCGGAUCGGACAACUCUGUUGUGACAGAAGAACAAGGAUGAUAGUAACUGCUCGUCCCUUGACGGUAUCUAACCAGAAAGCCAUGGCUAACUACGUGCCACCAACCGCGGUAAUACAUAGAUGGCAAGCGUCGUCCGGAUCUAUUGGACGUACAGCGAGCGCAGGCGGUUCUUUAAGUCUGAUGUGAACGCCCCUGCCUCAACCAGUGAGGGUCAUCGCAAACUGGACAACUUGAGUGCAUAAGAGGAAAGUGGAUUCCAUGUGUAGCGGUGAAAUGCGUAGAUAUAUGGAGGUACACCAGUGGCGAAGGCGACUGUCUGGUCUGUAACUGACGCUGAGGCUCGAAAGCAUGGGGAGCAAACAGGAUUAGAUACCCUGGUAGUCCAUGCCGUAAACGAUGAGUGAUAAGUGUUGGAGGGUUUCCGCCCUUCAGUGCUGCAGAUAACGCAUUAAGCACUCCGCCUGGGGAGUACGACCGCAAGGUUGAAACUCAAAGGAAUUGACGGGGGCCCGCACAAGCGGUGGAGCAUGUGGUUUAAUUCGAAGCAACGCGAAGAACCUUAUCAGGUAUUGACAUCCUUUGACCACUCUAGAGAUAGAGCUUUCCCUUCGGGGACAAAGUGACAGGUGGUGCAUGGUUGUCGUCAGCUCGUGUCGUGAGAUGUUGGGUUAAGUCCCGCAACGAGCGCAACCCUUAUUAUUAGUUGCCAGCAUUCAGUUGGGCACUGUAGUGAGACUGCCGGUGAUAAACCGGAGGAAGGUGGGGAUGACGUCGAAUCAUCAUGCCCAUUAUGUCCUGGGCUACACACGUGCUACAAUGGAUGGUACAACGAGUCGCAAAACCGCGAGGUUAAGCUAAUCUAUUAAAGCCAUUAUCAGUUAGGAUUGUAGGGUGCAAUUCGCGUACAUGAAGCCGGAAUCGCUAGUAAUCACGGAUCAGAACGCCGCCGGUGAAUACGUUCCCGGGCUGUGUACACAC